GCCGCUCCGAGGGGGCUCCGCGGCACCGGCGGCGCCGCUUCCCCCCCGGGCGGCAGAGACGCCCCGAGGUGCGCGUGAAUCGGCGCUUCCCCCCUCGGGCGCUGCUGCUCCCUCAGGGGCGCUCCCCUCGCAGCCCCUGCCUCCCGUAGCGGGGGCCGUUCCCGGCGGGCGGGUCCGCGCGGUCCUCUUGGCCGGCUUCCAAAAAAAAAACCCCAAAGUAAUUAAUAUAGAAUGAUAAGGGUUUGGAAUGGAGCUUAAAGAUCAUCUAAUCCUAACCCACCCUCCAGCAGACCAGGUUGCUCAAGGCCUUAUCCACCCCGGCCUUGAACACUGCCGGGAUCGGGGCAUCCACAACCUGCCUGAGCAACCUUUUCUAGUGCUUCACUGCCCUCUGCUUAAAGAAUUUCUUCCUAAUAUCUGUGUUUUCCCUGAUUAUAUAUAUACUCUUUACUUCUUGUCAUAUUACCCAUUGUCCUGUCAUUAGAGUUCCUGACAAGAGUCCCUCUGCGGAUUGCCUGUAGAUAUGCUACAUUUGUUUUGUCCCCCAGAUCUUCAAGUCUGGGCCUGUACAUCACAUUUUUUUAUUUCUCAUUCUCGCAUUAUUCUUUUAUUUUUUUUCUUGAGUUUGUUUUUUUUUAAAUUAUUUUAAUUAUUUGAAAUUUUUGUUUCUUUCCCCCCCAAACUCUGUAGUUUUAAUAAUGAAAAAAAGCUCUUGUAAGAUGCACAGUGCAGACAAUGACUGCCACCUUGGAAACACUCUGAGAAAGGGAACUCCCUCGUCACAUCAAAUGACCCUUCAAAGCCACCUUGCUUACUGAAGAGCUCUGCGUUUUGUUAUGGACCCAAGUUAUCAGAAACUGUGUGUGCAACUGGUGUUUUGUCCCUUUUUCCAGGCAGCUCCUGGAGACCAGCAUUCAACAAAGAAAGGCAGUGCCCGAUGAAGUGCACUGCAGCUCAAAUACACAAAAAAAUCUCCACACGGCACAUGUCUACUGAAGAAAUGAGUUGGCCUUUUGAGAGGGGUGUGGGUAAGCACAUUCACAUACCAAGACUGUGAAACUGUCCAAGAAAAAAAAAUAAAUCAAGAAAAUGAAGCAGAUGGUGACAGAUGGUUCCUUUGUGGACAGAUCUCAUGUAAAACCACAGGAAAUUAAGACAGAGUUGUUCCCUUUAAUUCUAAAAGUUAAAGUCUGCCUUUCCUCUGUAGGACUUCAUACUGCAAAGGCAACCCCUGUCCUUUGCCUUCUGCAAAGGCAAGACACUGUCCCUUGCAGGGGUUAUAAUUCUUUACUUUGUACUCUGCCCCAAAAUAGUUCAAAACUUCUGACUUCAGAAAAUAGAUCUGAUAGCAAGCAGCCCUGUUUGACGCCUGGGAAAAGAGUUGGGGGCCAACAGAAGUGGCCCUACGCGUGUGAUCUCUGUGAGGAUUCUGUACUGCCGCAUUGUGUGACUUUAGGCAUGUCACUCUCUCUCUUGUCAGCCGAAUUUGCUUAGAUAGUACAUUUUUGGGAGUCAGUGACAGCCCCGAUCUUGGUCAGGCCUUCUAGACACCAACAGGAUAAAAGGUCUUGUGUUUGUGGGAAUAACAAACUGUUGAAGCACCACUUACUCUCUCUCCAAUUGGGUACCCUUGAGGAACAAAGUACAAGAGGAGAGUCAAAGAGAUGAGACUUGAAAGAUGGCUCUCUAUUUCAAACAUUAUGCGUUCUUGGGUAUCUGUGACUUUCUGAUUGAAUCACUGACAGACUAAGGAAUUACAAAAGGUCUUGCUUUAGUAGAGUUUAUCCUUAGAAUAUUACUAAUAUGGGCUUUUCCCUGGAAAACAAUCAAUCAAACCAAAAAACCCAAGAAACUUAAAUACAGCAGCUUAAAUUUAAUCAGGAAGGUAAGAUCUGCUCCGAGGCCAUCCUGCAGACCAGCUCUUCACUCCUCUCAGACAGCAGCCCUGUACAGGUGCCUUGAGGUGAUCCAGGUAAUUUAGGGAGUGCCCUGCCCAUACCUUUCCUGCUAGCACUCUUAGAAUAGGGGCAAGAGGACAGGCACCACAACUGCUUUACAGGCACUGCACAUCACAGCUGUCUCCUGAUGUAAACUGAAAUUGGUGGCAGCACAAUUAUGUCCUCAGCCACCCUGUGACUGCUGAGGUGCGUGGCCUUUCCACCUCCCCUGCUACAAGCAGGCAACGCAGACAGCGGGGCUUUGUAAUCCUUUGCAGCUCAAAGGGUGGAUUGCCAAAGAUUCUGUGGAAAUACCCUUCCACUGAAAAUCGAGAAGUCCAUGUGCCCAAGCAAGUCAGGCAAGUAAGGACAGCAGCAAGCACAGGCAAACUGGAUGCAGGGUCAGCAAGGCAAGCAGGCAGCAGCAGGGCACAUCCGCUGUGCUGGAGCUGGCUCUUUCCAAUGUUCAGAUGGAGGAACUCCUCUGUGAUGCAUAAUGAUAAAAGGGCAUAACCAAAGGGCAUAACCACAGGAAAGAAACCAGCGUGAUUCUAUGGGUUUUGCUUUUUUGCCUCUGUUUUAGCAGUCCAAUAAGAGGAAGGAUCAUGUGUUGGUGAAGCAUUGGGGUACAGGAGGAGUCAGGAGUCCUGACUACUUUGAGUCCCUUCUACUUUGUGUAUGCAGUCGACUUGGUCAACUUUUCUGCCAAGUGUUGGAUAAAUGAGGAUCAGCUCCUCUCUUUGAUACACCUGACCAGGAGAUGUCAAUUACCUUUUUACCAGUUAUGACUGCUGGCCAGAAUGCUCUAGUAUUAGGCACAGCUCAAUAUAAGUACAUAUCAUGUCCUGUUCUGAAAGGUUCAUAAGUCUGGGUUUGCCCAACAGCUGGUAUUUAUGUCACAUUCAAAUGAUUGAUUGGUUUUUCCCCUGGCUCUUAUCUGUGAUGACCAAACACAAAUGAAUGGAGGGUCUAGUACAACUGGUACAUGCUGGACAUCACUUCAGGGUGAUUGUGUGAUGGGCAAAUAAAUAAGAAGACGUGCUGAACGAUGAUUCUGGUAGAAGUUGCACUAUAUGUGAUGACAGGGGUAAAACCUACCAGUUUUGUAGAAGUGAGGCCAUAUACUUGAAAUGCAGGGUGGUCAAAUAUAAAACAGAAAAAUUAUAUUUUCUCUUUGGCAUGUAUUAAGAAAUGCUGUUAUGAUAGUAUUCAUUUCACAUUUGCAGCGAGAGGAAAUGAGAGUUGUGGUCAGCAGUAGCUGUCUGGAACAAGGGACCCUGCAAAAGCAUAACCACAGGCUAAGUCUGAUCAGCUUGCAGAUAAAUCCCAAGCAAGUGCUACAGGCAUACACAUCUGAAAAGAAAUCUUUUCCACAUCCAAAGAUCAAGGAAAAAAAGAGAAAAUGCUGUUUAAGUGGAAUGCUAGCAACAUAGGAAGUUUAAAAUGCUAUUCUGGUUUUGGGGUCUAAUCCUGUACUCAGGUGCACAAAUCUUAUUUACAUUGUCUCCUUUGCAGAACUGUUAUUUGAAUUUGGACAUCCAGGAACAAAAUCAUUCAUCAUCAGUACUUUGGCAAUUCAUGGGGGAAAUUGAUUAAGUAUGCAACUAAUAUUUCAUUCCUUAUUUAAAAAACAUGACAUAUGACACAAGUAGAAUUUGGCCAUUCUGUAUUCCCUUAGAGGAGAAUUGUGCCAGGUAUCUAUGAGCAGACUGAGCUGCAGAUUGUUUCAUGGCCAUUAAGUACUAGUUGAAAGCUGACUCUGUACUGAGACGUGCUUAAUAGGAAUAAAAGGUCUGUUAUACUAAAUCAGAUUAGUAGUCCAGCCAAUGUGAUAUCCUGUCUCCAGCAGUGGCCAGCAUCAAAUGCUUCAGAGAAGGACACACAGACCCCCACAGUGGACAAUCACGUUACAAUCAUCUUAUUUGCUAAGUUUCCAGUGCUGCCAAGGCUGCCAGAGAGGCUGGUUUAUGCCCUGGAGCACAAAACUUCAUGUCAUUUAUAGCCUUAAUGGCAGCAUAACCCACUGUUAACAUGUGAAACUGAUUGAUUGCCAUUUUUCAGAAGAGCAGCACUCUCUCCUGAGUGUUGUUACUGUUGGGAUUGGAGACCAUGUUGAGCCUGCAUCCCAUGAGUGACAUUAGAAGAUUUCAGCCCAGUACUCUCCUCCAGUGUUUUCCCUUUGAGGCAGGCUGUGAACAGGAGCAUCUUCAGGAGAGCAUGGUGUUUUCUGCUCCCCACUCUGCUCAGCUGGAAAGUUAGCCAUGAUUUGAUGCUCAGGGCUGUUCCCUGCUAACCCACCCAGACCCUGGUGUUGUUCAUGCUCCGGAGUGAUGAGAUCCAGUGCCUGGGAGGCUGAAGACAUUUAUGCUGAACCUUCAGCAUGAAAGUAGUACCACCAUGGCUGGAGUUAGUGGGCACAGGCUGAAGGAAUUACCUAGCAGAAGCAGAACUGGUUACAUACUUAAGCAGGUGCAGAAACUUUGGCAGGAUCAAGGCUUAAAUAGCAAUUACCUCAAGGCAAGAAAAUGUUCUUCUUCUGUUUCCUUUGUAGCACAACACUUUCUAUUGUCACUUAAUUAACUCGGUUUUCAAACUGAUGAAUGAUGGAGUAACGUUGGAAGCUUUACAAUCAUGGCAUCACUUGAAACGCCUCAGUGCUCUCCCAAGAGAGAAAGAUCCUUAUGUAGGACACCAAGGACACAGUGAGGGAGCUGGUUGUUAUAGGUUUGUUGAAAAAGAACAAGAAGAAGACAUGAAAGCUUGAAGAAAAUAUUCCUAGAUCUCUUUUUCUUCACAGCUUUAAUAUGGUAUGUGAUGUGUGUAUGCUUCCUAAUUCACUGCUGCAGAUUUCUCUGUAGAUGCAGCAAGAAGCAGUUCUUAAGCAGAGACUGGUUACAUGGAAUAUUAGAGUAUUUCAAGGGUAUUAAAAAUACCACUAUAUAAAGAUCUUGUUCACUCACCCUGCCCUUUCUGUGACAAAUGACUGCAGUAAAAGUGAACUCCUGCUUUUCCUUAUUUAUGAAACACCUCUUCCCUUUUGUAUGAAAAACUAAUAUUCCUGUGCUUUAGAAAGUGUGUAAGUGGCAGUUGAGAGAGAGAGUGAAAGCUGUACAUUAGAGUGGUGGAACAAGGCAAACGCUGAAAAACAAAAAGCUAUUCAGAUUUUCUUUUUCCCCUAAAACAAAAGAAAUGAAAACUCUCAUCAGACUGAAUUGUUCCACUCCUGAUUACUGUGUGUAGCAUGAUGAAACAAAAAAUGCAUUUCCAUUUUAGCUUUUGCAGGCAAUAUAUGCCUGCAAACCUCUUGAUAAAGAACUGAUUUUCAAAGCAGCACAUUCCUGUAGGCUGUCAGUGAUCCAGCAGAGCUCUCACGCUGCUUUGACUUUUCCUCCUCCCAAGAGUAUCAGGCCUUUACAAUUCUUUCUAGGAUCCAAGCAAAUUUAAUAAUAUAGGCAAACUUCUCCACAGAUUGAUUUUGGAUUUACAAGGCUCCUGGCUGUUUGCUUGCAGAGACAUAACCAAGAGGCAGAACCCACAUACCAGUCUUGAAAAAAAAAACCCUCAUUUGCACAAAAUAGAUUUUACUCUUCAACAUCUUCACAACUGAAACUGGCAAUGUGUCACACUUAGCCAUAAACAUUUUUUCAGGAAGGAACUGGUCUCAAAUAAGCCAGUUUAAAUAAGAUCAGCAAAGCCAUCUCCAGUAAUACCAUCUGGUGACUCUUAAUCACAUUUGAGUGUAGAAUAUUGAAAAUAUGAGUCAGGCUAGAAAAGACAUGAGAAAAACAGUGUGAGCAGGGAAGUGCAAGAGUAUUAACUAAGAGUAGCUUGCAGGCAGUAGGUUGGAGAAGAGCAAUAAAGAGGAACAUUUAGCAAAGCAAUUCAUAAACUCAGGGACUAAGGCAAUACUUUCUCAUUAAAAUGCAGCCAUUUACCCUGCCUAUUCUAACACCUGGUUUUGGCUUAGUCCUUAUGUGCCACCCAGGUACUGAGACAGGUGCAGAGGUGAAAGAUCAGUGCAGAGUUGAGCAUUAUGUGUUUGCUGUGGUCUCACCAGCACUGGACUGUCCCUCCCCUGCCUGGUGAGCCACAGCAGCAACAUGUGCCUCCUGAAAGUACAUGAGAAUCCAUGAGCCACCGUUGUGUCAACUGCAUUUUCUAAGCCACUGGCAAUAUUUUGUAGAAUUUGAACUUUUGUGUGUGAAGUGGUGAGAUUUUUUUUCUGUUCCACAUUUGUUUUUUCUUUUCUGCAGUUGAAUACUUAAAUAAAUAACAGCCUGUAGCAGCUUGUGUCAAGAGUAACAAGAAGGUGGCUGGCACCUGUACUAAUUUGAAGAAACAAUUUAAAGAAUUUGGUUAUGAAUUCUAAUGCGAAACAAUUUUUUUUCUUCUUUUUUGUGCUGCCAGCAUGUAUUGUUAGAUUCAGUUUCAUUUCACUAUC
This is a long non-coding RNA of Passer domesticus (house sparrow), 6378 nucleotides long. RefSeq lists it as uncharacterized. The transcript is spliced from 3 exons. NCBI's taxonomy places the organism in Eukaryota, Metazoa, Chordata, Aves, Passeriformes, Passeridae. The record is from RefSeq and is a predicted model, not a curated record.